CGUGUGUCAUUUCACAUCUUGGCAUUAUAUAUCUUUGAAAUAUAUUUGACCCACGUGAUGCAGCAAUCUGUGUGAUGUCACUAUUACGAGAUAAACCUGUUGUUUCUAAAUCAAAGAUAAUGAAUUCUUCAGAAUCAUUUAUAGUAAGACGAGAAGGUAUUUGCUGAAUAUCAGAUAUUGCAUCAUUCACUUCUGUUUCAUUUUCAUAGGUG
This 212-nucleotide long non-coding RNA is filed under the name Mytilus galloprovincialis (Mediterranean mussel). Lineage: Eukaryota; Metazoa; Mollusca; Bivalvia; Mytilida; Mytilidae. The record is from RNAcentral.